CCUACGGGCGGCAGCAGUAGGGAAUAUUGCUCAAUGGGGGAAACCCUGAAGCAGCCACGCCGCGUGGAGGAUGAAGGUUUUCGGAUUGUAAACUCCUUUUGUUAGAGAAGCUAAUGAUGGUAUCUAUCGACUAAGCACCGGCUAACUCCGUCCCAGCAGCCGCGGUCAUACGGAGGGUGCAAGCGUUACUCGGAAGCACUGGGCGGAAAGAGCGCGUAGGCGGGAUAGCAAGUCAGAUGUGAAAUCCUAUGGCUUAACCAUAGAACUGCAUUUGAAACUGGUAUUCUAGAGUAUGGGAGAGGGAGGUGGAAUUCUUGGUGUAGCGGUAAAAUCCGUAGAGAUCAAGAGGAAUACUGAUGGCGAAGGCGACCUGCUAGAACAUAACUGACGCUGAUGCGCGAAAGCGUGGGGAGCAAACAGGAUUAGAUACCCCUGUAGUC
RNAcentral lists this ribosomal RNA (440 nucleotides) under uncultured bacterium. RNAcentral describes it as "partial 16S ribosomal RNA". It matches the Rfam family "Bacterial small subunit ribosomal RNA", at positions 338 to 795 of the family's 1533-position model. The record is from RNAcentral.